RNAcentral lists this ribosomal RNA (422 nucleotides) under uncultured bacterium. RNAcentral's name for it is "partial 16S ribosomal RNA". It matches the Rfam family "Bacterial small subunit ribosomal RNA", at positions 360 to 775 of the family's 1533-position model. The record is from RNAcentral.
AAUUUUAGACAAUGGGGGAAACCCUGAUCCAGCAAUGCCGCGUGCAGGAUGAAGGCCUUCGGGUUGUCAACUGCUUUUGUACGGAACGAAAAGGCUUGGGCUAAUACACUGGGAUCAUGACGGUAACGUACGAAUAAGCCCCGGCUAACUACGUGCCAGCACCCGCGGUAAUACGUAGGGUGCAAGCGUUAAUCGGAAUUACUGGGCGUAAAGCGUGCGCAGGCGGUUUUGUAAGACAGUGGUGAAAUCCCCGGGCUCAACCGGGAACUGCCAUUGUGACUGCAAGGCUGGAGUGCGGCAGAGGGGGAUGGAAUUCCGCGUGUAGCAGUGAAAUGCGUAGAUAUGCGGAGGAACACCGAUGGCGAAGGCAAUCCCCUGGGCCUGCACUGACGCUCAUGCACGAAAGCGUGGGGAGCAAACAG